GCUCAUAUUAUAACUAUAUGCUCUCAACAUGUCCGAUCAUUGGCGUACGCAUUAUUCACUCGGAAGAAAACCGAUUCUGAAACGUGGAAUUUCUCGAGUAAUACAACCGUGAUGUGAUAUUACGACCCACGUGAAAAAAUUGCUAUGCUUGUUAUAAUAUUCUCUAUGUUUGGAAAUGUAUGUAAAGUUAAAUUAUCCUAAUAUUACGUUAAAAAGUUGUUAAAAUAUGCCUCUAAGUAGCAUUCAGUUAGAAUAUCCUCGUAUACAUAUGGUUAACUAAAAGGAUUAUUGUUAUCUCUCUAAUGUAGUCUGCAGAACAAAUAGUACGAUUGAGAGAUAAGAUAUAGUUGCACGGCAUUGAGAGUUCGGUUUCAUUACGGUAAUAGAAUAGACAGUAGCAGUAACUCGCGAAGAAUUUUCACACAUAAAAUAAAGCUACUUAGGUUUAUUCGUUAGUUUUCCUAAUCAAUGACAAAGAAAUGUGGCCGUGAAUGCUCCGGUUUUGGCCUUGAAGCCAGACAAAGAACAAGACGACGAAAAAUUUAGUUUAUAAUGGCUUACGCAGCAAAAAUGGGAUUUUGUAUUAAUUUUAGACACUAAUAAAUCCUAGACCGGAUGAUCGUGUCCGCAUAUACGAGAGUCGGUAAAUGGACAUCAUCUAAAAUUAGAAACCCAUGUUACGUAGACGUCUUAGUUGAAACGCUGUCGUGAACUAAGGGCGAACGGAGCUUCUCUCCUCCAGCCGCGUUUCGUCACAGUCAGUGCACUCAUUAGUCGAUACCGGUUGCAGCAUCUGUUCCUCGUCUUUAAAAGCUAAAAUUAGAGUAGAUUGCAUUUCGGCAUUAUUACCUGUUCGCCGGGCACGUCAUGACAAAGCGGCAGGACUUGUCGAUUGAUUUCCCAAACACGAGAUUGUAGAUAUCGCUUGAAACCGACUUCUUUGUCAAUUGAACUUUCGAGUCGAUUUAAACACAAAGGUAGACCAUUGUUUUGCACUAUCUUCAAUUUAGGGCUUUUAAAGCUAUGAUCGAUUUCAGAUAUUACGGCCUUUAAAAAAAAGUAUCAAAGAUAAGAAUGAUUAUUCAUAUUCAACUCAGUUGUAUUUAAACUUUAAAACGUGAAAGUGUGAGUUUCUCUGACGACGAGCAGCAGGUAUGCGCUUGACAGAGGAUUUACAAAAUCCUUUAUUCGGCCCGGCUAUCUAAACACAAACGAGAUUUUUGACACACUCGACAUAUUUGUCGUGGGUUUUAGUUACCUGCGUUUUCCUAGGUAAUUGUUUACGCAAAAGAAAGAAAAUGGUGUAACUAUUUUCAGGUUAAUGCAGCUCGGCAGAGAAGGAUCCAAAUGCGCAGUAACUACAACCCACGAAAAUCGUGUCGGAUAUGUCAAGGAUCGUUUGUGCUCAAAAAACCUGGCCAAAAAAGAAACUAAACCCCGUAUACUUUUGUUACUUGUUCAGAGAAUCAGAGUCAGUUAAAGUCUAG
This is a long non-coding RNA of Solenopsis invicta (red fire ant), 1487 nucleotides long. RefSeq lists it as uncharacterized. Lineage: Eukaryota; Metazoa; Arthropoda; Insecta; Hymenoptera; Formicidae. The transcript has 3 exons. The record is from RefSeq and is a predicted model, not a curated record.